Daphnia carinata is the source of this 832-nucleotide long non-coding RNA. RefSeq lists it as uncharacterized. The transcript has 7 exons. Lineage: Eukaryota; Metazoa; Arthropoda; Branchiopoda; Diplostraca; Daphniidae. The record is from RefSeq and is a predicted model, not a curated record.
UGUCACUUCUGCUGUGCUCGUUCUUGGUGGUAGUAGUAACCAAAGCUAAAUCACAAUGGAUGUUUGGCCAAUUCUUCGGUUCAAGAGGUUAGGUGGUGAUAAGUUUUGGCCGUUUUUUGUUGGAUGUUAGGAAGGCUUUGAACUGAUGCUGAUCAGUUAACUAAUGGAAAAUCACAGCUACAAACAUGGUCUCGUCACCCUUGGUAGCAGUUCUGCAAACAGCCAAAAUUGCAUCGUGAACCCUUAUUCAAUUCCUAAAUUGCGUGGAGGAGCUUGGUUGUAGCAUGCUAGCACAUUUGCCAAAUUUAUCGCUGGAAUUCAUCUACCUUGGUGUUUUCCGAGUGUUGUCAGUUCCUGCAUGCUGUACUAAGGUGCUUCAAUCACAAAUUGAAUGUUGGUGGAACGUACCAUAGAUCAAAUCAUUACGUUUCUCAGUGGGACUAAUGGAACUUGUCAAUCUCCGCAGAUCGUCCUGGUGAAUGAGUUUGUGUGCAGUAGUUCGGCGUUUCAUGAGUAUGAAGCGGCCACGAAAUUCACCAUCAGUAUUCAGAUCAUCGUUAUAUGAUGUACUUUACGUCUAUCCCGAAUGUUAGUGUAGUCGUUGUGAAUUGCUUGUAAGGUUGUUUACUAUACACGCUAUGUAGAAUGACGCUGUUAAGGCUAGCGAUUAUGUACUGAUCUUUAAAGUGCCUAUAAUUGAGAGAAUAAGUAUUCCUAAUACAAGAUUGUACAUUGCAUCUUCAUCGAAGCCAUGAUUAUGCUUCGGUUUUACGAUGAGUGUUUGGAUAAUGGCGUCAGUGCGAGAACAUCAUUUCUUAUUCAAAUGUUGAUU